This 406-nucleotide ribosomal RNA is filed under the name uncultured bacterium. Its description in RNAcentral is "partial 16S ribosomal RNA". It matches the Rfam family "Bacterial small subunit ribosomal RNA", at positions 30 to 526 of the family's 1533-position model. The record is from RNAcentral.
AUUGAACGCUGGCGGCAGGCUUAACACAUGCAAGUCGAGCGAGCGGCGGACGGGUGAGUAAUAUCUGGGAACCUGCCUGAUGGAGGGGGAUAACUACUGGAAACGGUAGCUAAUACCGCAUACCAUCAGAUCUGCCCAUAUGGGAUUAGCUAGUAGGUGGGGUAAUGGCUCACCUAGGCGACGAUCCCUAGCUGGUUUGAGAGGAGGACCAGCCACACUGGGACUGAGACACGGUCCAGACUCCUACGGGAGGCAGCAGUGGGGAAUAUUGCACAAUGGGGGCAAGCCUGAUGCAGCCAGGCCGCGUGUGUGAAGAAGGCCGUCGGGUUGUAAAGCACUUUGAGCGGGGAGGCGGUACUCGCAGAAGAAGCACCGGCUAACUCCGUGCCAGCAGCCGCGGUAAUAC